RNAcentral lists this long non-coding RNA (996 nucleotides) under Homo sapiens (human). RNAcentral describes it as "HSALNT0066396". The record is from RNAcentral. Lineage: Eukaryota; Metazoa; Chordata; Mammalia; Primates; Hominidae.
CUUUUGAGCCAGGAUGAGCCAGGAGAAGGAAUUUCACAAGGUAAUGGCUUCAGUUAAAGCAGAAACCGGCCAUUUUCACUUCUUUUGUGAUUCUUCACUUGCUUCGGGCCAUCUCGACAUAUACAUGCAGGUCACAGGGGAUAUGAUAGCUUAGCUUGGGCUCAGAGGCCUGACACUGUUGAUAGUUUAUUUUGCUCUGCAGACGUUCUUUAACUUCAUUAGGCAAUACUUGUCAAUUUUUGUUUUUGCUGCAAUUGCUUUUGGCUACUAAGCCAAAAAUUAUUUGCCAAGGCUGAUAUCGGGAGGGUAUGUCCUAGGUUUCCUUAUAGGACAUUUACAGUUCGAAGUCUUACAUUUACAUCUUUAAUCCAUCAUCAGUUAAUUUUUGUAUAUGGUGAAAUGUAAGGGUCCAGUUUUAUUCUUCUACAUAUGACUAGCCAAUUAUCCCAGCAUGAUUUACUAAAUGGGGAGUCCUUUCCUCAUUGCUUUUGUUGGCCUUGUCGAAGAUCAGAGGAUUAUGGAGUCUUGCUCUGUCGCCCAGCCAGGCUGAAGUGCAGUGGUGCAAUCUUGGCUCACUUCAAACUCCGCCUCCCAGGUUCAAGUGAUUCUCCUGCCUCAGUCUCCUGAGUGGCUGGGACCACAGGUAUGGAAUGCAUUUGAACAGGCAUAUUCCUACAGGGCAUCGCCAACAUGGGAAAUAAGUAGUAAUAUGUCUUGAAAUCUUACUGAGAAAUUUGACUAUUUUGUGAACAUGGUCCUAUAUACACCACUUAGUUUUGGUGAUGUGAUGGGAAUUUAGUGAAACCUUCGUAUGGGUUAUUUUGUAUGAACUGGCCAUGAAGGUGGCUCUUUUCUUACAUUUUAACAUGGAAGAGAGAAGAAGCAUAUGGCAGCCCAGAAAUGCUGGACAUCAGGGACUUUUUGCUUCUGUGAAUACUGUGAGUGUAUCUGGAAUAAAUUACAGUGACUCUAAUAAAAUGAAAUGUUGAAUCACUU